This 380-nucleotide ribosomal RNA is filed under the name uncultured eukaryote. RNAcentral's name for it is "partial 18S ribosomal RNA". It matches the Rfam family "Eukaryotic small subunit ribosomal RNA", at positions 592 to 976 of the family's 1831-position model. The record is from RNAcentral.
CAAUAGCGUAUAUUAAAGUUGUUGCGGUUAAAAAGCUCGUAGUUGGAUUUCUGCUGAGAACGACCGGUCCGCCCUCUGGGUGUGUAUCUGGCUCUUUCUUGGCAUCUUCUUGGUGAACGUUGCUGCACUUGACUGUGUGGAGCGCUACCCAGGACUUUUACUUUGAGGAAAUUAGAGUGUUUCAAGCAGGCAUACGCCUUGAAUACAUUAGCAUGGAAUAAUAAGAUAGGACCUCGGUUCUAUUUUGUUGGUUUCUAGAGCUGAGGUAAUGAUUAAUAGGGAUAGUUGGGGGCAUUCGUAUUAACCGGUCAGAGGUGGAAUUCUUGGACUCGGUUACGACGAACUACUGCGAAAGCAUUUGCCAAGAAUGUUUUCAUUGA